GGCUGUUCUCGGGUGACACACUUCAGAAUCGGUUUCCUUCCUCUCUGGUUCUGGGGUGCAUCAUCUGAGAACCACC
This is a non-coding RNA of Myotis lucifugus (little brown bat), 76 nucleotides long. Lineage: Eukaryota; Metazoa; Chordata; Mammalia; Chiroptera; Vespertilionidae. The record is from Rfam.